GGGGACAACAGCCAGAAAUGGCUGCUAAUACCGCAUAAGCCUGCUGUGCCGCAUGGCACAGCAGGGAAAACCACGGUGGUACAGGAUGGGCCCGCGUCUGAAUAGUUAGUUGGCAGGGUAACGGCCUACCAAGACAACGAUCAGUAGCCGGCUUGAGAGAGUGGACGGCCACAUUGGGACUGAGACACGGCCCAGACUCCUGCGGGAGGCAGCAGUGGGGAAUAUUGCACAAUGGGGGGAACCCUGAUGCAGCAAUGCCGCGUGGGUGAAGAAGCACUCCGGUGUGUAAAGCCCUGUCAGCAGGGAAGAAAAUGACAGUACCUGGACAAGAAGCCCCGGCUAACUACGUGCCAGCAGCCGCGGUAAUACGUAGGGGGCAAGCGUUAUCCGGAUUUACUGGGUGUAAAGGGAGCGCAGGCGGCGUGGCAAGUCAGAUGUGAAAACCCGGGGCCCAACCCCGGGAGUGCAUUUGAAACUGCCAUGCUGGAGUGCCGGAGAGGUAAGCGGAAUUCCUAGUGUAGCGGUGAAAUGCGUAGAUAUUAGGAGGAACACCAGUGGCGGAGGCGGCUUACUGGACGGUAACUGACGCUGAGGCUCGAAAGCGUGGGGAGCAAACAGGAUUAGAUACCCUGGUAGUCCACGCCGUAAACGAUGAA
RNAcentral lists this ribosomal RNA (656 nucleotides) under uncultured bacterium. Its description in RNAcentral is "bacterial SSU rRNA". It matches the Rfam family "Bacterial small subunit ribosomal RNA", at positions 139 to 813 of the family's 1533-position model. The record is from RNAcentral.